AUAUUUGCUGAAUGACUGAGUGUUAGAACAUGAGGAAACACUCUACUUAAUAUUCAGUAAAUGGGUGACUGAGUCAUUAAGAAAGGGAAUUAUACCCCAAAUGUGGGAAACUCGAUUGCAUAAUUUGUGGUAGUGGGAGACUGUGUUCAUGCUUCCCCCGG
This 161-nucleotide small nuclear RNA is filed under the name Erinaceus europaeus (western European hedgehog). Its description in RNAcentral is "U1 spliceosomal RNA (ENSEEUG00000023686.1)". Lineage: Eukaryota; Metazoa; Chordata; Mammalia; Eulipotyphla; Erinaceidae. The record is from RNAcentral.